RNAcentral lists this transfer RNA (75 nucleotides) under Mus musculus (house mouse). RNAcentral describes it as "tRNA-Asn". The record is from RNAcentral. Lineage: Eukaryota; Metazoa; Chordata; Mammalia; Rodentia; Muridae.
GGUUGGAGAGAUGGCUCAGUGGUUAAGAGCACUGACUGUUCUUCCAGAGGUCCUGAGUUCAAUUCCCAGCAACCA